This 481-nucleotide ribosomal RNA is filed under the name uncultured bacterium. RNAcentral's name for it is "partial 16S ribosomal RNA". It matches the Rfam family "Bacterial small subunit ribosomal RNA", at positions 28 to 507 of the family's 1533-position model. The record is from RNAcentral.
GACGAACGUUGGCGGCGUGCUUAAUACAUGCAAGUCAACUGAAGCAGUGGUAGCAAUAUCGCUGUGGAGGUGGCGCACGGGUGAGUAACACGUAGGUAAUCUGCCUUCAGGUCUGGCAUAACUCCGGGAAACCGGGGCUAAUAGCAGAUGAUGCAGCGGCUCGACAUCGAGACAGUUGUUAAAGCUAUGGCGCCUGAAGAUGAGCCUGCGUCUGAUUAGCUAGUUGGCGGGGUAACGGCCCACCAAGGCAACGAUCAGUAGCUGGUCUGAGAGGAUGAUCAGCCACACUGGAACGGAGACACGGUCCAGACUCCUACGGGAGGCAGCAGUAAGGAAUAUUGCUCAAUGGGAGAAAUCCUGAAGCAGCAACGCCGCGUGAGGGACGAAGGGCUUUUGCUUGUAAACCUCUGUAGUGAGAGAAAAAAAUCCCAAUCUUUGGGACAUGAUGGUAUCUCAAAAGUAAGCCCCGGCUAACUACGUG